Molecule: transfer RNA, 77 nt
Filed under: Bacteriovoracales bacterium
Lineage: Bacteria; Pseudomonadati; Bdellovibrionota; Bacteriovoracia; Bacteriovoracales
Description: tRNA-Arg
Rfam family: tRNA
About the family: Transfer RNA (tRNA) molecules are approximately 80 nucleotides in length. Their secondary structure includes four short double-helical elements and three loops (D, anti-codon, and T loops).
Source: RNAcentral
GCAGCCGUAGCUCAGCUGGAUAGAGCACCUGACUACGGAUCAGGAGGUCGUACGUUCGAAUCGUACCGGUUGCGCCA